GAUGAACGCUGGCGGCGUGCCUAAUACAUGCAAGUCGAACGCUGAAGGAGGAGCUUGCUCUUCUGGAUGAGUUGCGAACGGGUGAGUAACGCGUAGGUAACCUGCCUGGUAGCGGGGGAUAACUAUUGGAAACGAUAGCUAAUACCGCAUGACAACAGUUAUUGCAUGAUAACUGUUUAAAAGGGGCAACUGCUCCACUACCAGAUGGACCUGCGUUGUAUUAGCUAGUUGGUGAGGUAACGGCUCACCAAGGCGACGAUACAUAGCCGACCUGAGAGGGUGAUCGGCCACACUGGGACUGAGACACGGCCCAGACUCCUACGGGAGGCAGCAGUAGGGAAUCUUCGGCAAUGGACGGAAGUCUGACCGAGCAACGCCGCGUGAGUGAAGAAGGUUUUCGGAUCGUAAAGCUCUGUUGUAAGAGAAGAACGAGUGUGAGAGUGGAAAGUUCACACUGUGACGGUAUCUGACCAGAAAGGGACGGCUAACUACGUG
This 495-nucleotide ribosomal RNA is filed under the name uncultured bacterium. RNAcentral's name for it is "partial 16S ribosomal RNA". It matches the Rfam family "Bacterial small subunit ribosomal RNA", at positions 28 to 507 of the family's 1533-position model. The record is from RNAcentral.